UUUUUUAAUUGAAAACUUGUAUGAAUGGUUGAACGAAAUUUUAACUGUAUCAUAAAAACAAUAAUUGAAGUUAACUUUUAAGUUAAAAGGCUUAAAUUUUACUAUAGGACGAGAAGACCCUAUAGAGUUUAAUAAUAGUAAUUUUAUUAUUUGUAAAAAAUUAUUAAAAUUUUAAUAUUUAUAUUAUUUUGUUGGGGUGACAAUAAAAUUUAAUUAACUUUUAUUAUUUAUUUACAUUGAUUUAUGAUUAAAUGAUCUAUUUUUAUUGAUUAAAAAAUUAAAUUACCUUAGGGAUAACAGCGUAAUUUUUUUUUAAAGUUCAUAUUAAUAAAAAAGUUUGC
RNAcentral lists this ribosomal RNA (341 nucleotides) under Arachnocampa luminosa. RNAcentral describes it as "partial 16S ribosomal RNA". The record is from RNAcentral. Lineage: Eukaryota; Metazoa; Arthropoda; Insecta; Diptera; Keroplatidae.